This 272-nucleotide long non-coding RNA is filed under the name Elaeis guineensis (African oil palm). RNAcentral's name for it is "long non-coding RNA (EGUI_LNC057088)". Lineage: Eukaryota; Viridiplantae; Streptophyta; Magnoliopsida; Arecales; Arecaceae. The record is from RNAcentral.
UCCCUUAAGAUCCCAAGUGUUGGGAAAUGUGUCCUAAAGCCAAUCAUCUAGGUUGUAGGUGAUUGUGCUCCAUAUAAGUAUAUGAAUUAUAAAAUGAUAAAUAUUAUCUGACAGAUUUAUCAUAAGGAAUACAUCUUUCAAAAUAGAGCUCAUAUGUUAUGAUGAAGUCCUUAGAACUACUACCAAAAUAAUAAAGGAGGAUUUAUCAUGUGGUUCUUAAAUCUAGCUCGUGACCAAAUGAUACAAUUGUUACAAGGACGAUAAUUAUAUCG